GUGAUGAAGCUUUUACAAAGAAAAAGAGUUUAGGUGGAGACCGGAGACGAUUGCCACCGAACUCAUCCUUGUUAUGCUCUUUUUUUCAGAUUCAGAAUUUUGGUUGUACUUUCAAUCAGCUCAAUUUCUCAGAUUUACGCCGAAAUUAGGGUUUCUGAUUAUAGCGCUAUUAAAUUAUUCUUUGCUUUGAAUUUACUCAAUCAAUUGAUUGUUUGUUCGGUGCAGUUUUUAGAGGAAUUGG
Molecule: unclassified non-coding RNA, 241 nt
Filed under: Hevea brasiliensis (rubber tree)
Lineage: Eukaryota; Viridiplantae; Streptophyta; Magnoliopsida; Malpighiales; Euphorbiaceae
Source: RNAcentral